UUACCGGUGAUUUUAGAAAGUACGGGC
This 27-nucleotide non-coding RNA is filed under the name Bombyx mori (domestic silkworm). The record is from RNAcentral. Lineage: Eukaryota; Metazoa; Arthropoda; Insecta; Lepidoptera; Bombycidae.